RNAcentral lists this ribosomal RNA (492 nucleotides) under uncultured bacterium. RNAcentral describes it as "partial 16S ribosomal RNA". It matches the Rfam family "Bacterial small subunit ribosomal RNA", at positions 29 to 507 of the family's 1533-position model. The record is from RNAcentral.
AGUGAACGCUGGCGGUAGGCCUAACACAUGCAAGUCGAACGGCAGCACAGUAAGAGCUUGCUCUUACGGGUGGCGAGUGGCGGACGGGUGAGGAAUACAUCGGAAUCUACUUUUUCGUGGGGGAUAACGUAGGGAAACUUACGCUAAUACCGCAUACGACCUACGGGUGAAAGCAGGGGAUCUUCGGACCUUGCGCGAUUGAAUGAGCCGAUGUCGGAUUAGCUAGUUGGCGGGGUAAAGGCCCACCAAGGCGACGAUCCGUAGCUGGUCUGAGAGGAUGAUCAGCCACACUGGAACUGAGACACGGUCCAGACUCCUACGGGAGGCAGCAGUGGGGAAUAUUGGACAAUGGGCGCAAGCCUGAUCCAGCCUUACCGCGUGGGUGAAGAAGGCCUUCGGGUUGUAAAGCCCUUUUGUUGGGAAAGAAAAGCAGCAGGUUAAUACCCCGCUGUUCUGACGGUACCCAAAGAAUAAGCACCGGCUAACCUCGUG